CCCCUUUCGUUCCGCCCUCGGAAUACCUAUUAUUAAGGCGUCGGGAAACCGGCUAUGGGGAUAAACCUUUCGCGGAAUAAGCAUUACGGACCCGGGGGCGGUACCCGGCGCCUCCACCAGUUUACAAGAUGCGCCCGUUUACGGAUAUGUGGGCUGGCGCAUCCCUCUGGGGGCGAAACAGGAUCGACGUGUGUAGUAAAGGCGUAAGUUUCUCCCGGCAUGGUACCACCGUUAUCGGGCCAAGCUAGUAGUUGCGAACGACAACUCCAAGCAGGUCGCCCUCGCCGCUUAAUUGCGGUCUGGGUAACCACCCUUAAGCCCUUAUCUUGCUAAGGUAAGGCGCGGUUCGGAGGGCACCGGGCAACAGAAGCCCUCCACU
Molecule: transfer-messenger RNA, 379 nt
Filed under: Oceanibaculum indicum P24
Lineage: Bacteria; Pseudomonadati; Pseudomonadota; Alphaproteobacteria; Rhodospirillales; Oceanibaculaceae
Also listed under: 1 other name
Description: Alphaproteobacteria transfer-messenger RNA
Rfam family: Alphaproteobacteria transfer-messenger RNA
About the family: Bacterial tmRNA, also known as 10Sa RNA or SsrA, is named for its dual tRNA and mRNA-like properties. Its role is to liberate the mRNA from a stalled ribosome.
Source: Rfam by way of RNAcentral